GUAGCUCAGUGGUAGAGUGCUUGCCUUGCAUGCAUGAGGUCCUGGGUUCCAUUCCUCAGC
Molecule: transfer RNA, 60 nt
Filed under: Dipodomys ordii (Ord's kangaroo rat)
Lineage: Eukaryota; Metazoa; Chordata; Mammalia; Rodentia; Heteromyidae
Rfam family: tRNA
About the family: Transfer RNA (tRNA) molecules are approximately 80 nucleotides in length. Their secondary structure includes four short double-helical elements and three loops (D, anti-codon, and T loops).
Source: Rfam by way of RNAcentral